UGUAGCUGGCCUCUUGAGGUAUGUGCACACCUUUAUCGCGCAUCCACAUCUCACACCUGUGCACAACCUGUAGCUUGGGAUGAUUACAAUUCUGGAAACGGUAUUGAAAGCCCUUGCUAUGAAUUUUUAAACAACCGUAUUAAAAGUUAUAGAAUGUUAUGGCGUGUAACAGCGCAAAUAAAUAUACAACUUUCAGCAACGGAUCUCUUGGCUCUCGCAUCGAUGAAGAACGCAGCGAAAUGCGAUAAGUAAUGUGAAUUGCAGAAUUCAGUGAAUCAUCGAAUCUUUGAACGCACCUUGCGCUCCUUGGUAUUCUGAGGAGCAUGCCUGUUUGAGUGUCAUGAAGCUCUCAACUGCUUUAGCUUGUUAUGGUUGAAGUGAAGUUGGAUUUGGAGGAAUGAUUAUUGCUGGCGUGACCUUUUCAGGUUGCUUGUUAGCUCCUCUUAAAUGGAUGAACUUUCCAGUAGUAAAAUAACACCAAUGUGAUAAUUAUCUACGUUGGAUGUGCUUUUUACAAGGAAAGAUAUAUCUGUCUUGAAGGCAAACACCUCUUGACGAAACAAAUGACAAAUUUGACCUCAAAUCAGGUAGGACUACCCGCUGAACUUAAGCAUA
RNAcentral lists this unclassified non-coding RNA (615 nucleotides) under uncultured Pseudotomentella. Its description in RNAcentral is "sequence contains ITS1, 5.8S rRNA gene and ITS2". The stretch from base 188 to 341 matches the Rfam family "5.8S ribosomal RNA". Lineage: Eukaryota; Fungi; Basidiomycota; Agaricomycetes; Thelephorales; Thelephoraceae. The record is from RNAcentral.